RNAcentral lists this transfer RNA (85 nucleotides) under Felis catus (domestic cat). It matches the Rfam family "tRNA". From Rfam's summary of the family: Transfer RNA (tRNA) molecules are approximately 80 nucleotides in length. The record is from Rfam by way of RNAcentral. Lineage: Eukaryota; Metazoa; Chordata; Mammalia; Carnivora; Felidae.
GCGUGGGUGGCUCAGUCAGUUGAGCAUCUGAUUUCGGCUCAGGUCAUGAUCUCACGGUUUGUGGGUUCAAGUCCCAUGUCAAGCU